This 284-nucleotide long non-coding RNA is filed under the name Brassica napus (rape). RNAcentral describes it as "long non-coding RNA (BNAP_LNC002889)". Lineage: Eukaryota; Viridiplantae; Streptophyta; Magnoliopsida; Brassicales; Brassicaceae. The record is from RNAcentral.
CCAGGGCGAGUGGUUGUGACUCAGCAUGCAAAAUGAGUAGCACCAGGGUUCGAAACACAACUUGGUACCCGAUUUCCGGGAGGGAUUGAAUCUCUCCCGACUCACGAGAAGACUCGUGACUAACUCACGGAUUGAUUCGUGGGGGGGGGCAACGCCUGCCUGAUAUGCACACAGGGGACAAUGUCCAAUGUGCCAGAUCUUGAAUAGAAAAGAUCUGAUGCCGGAUCGGAUAUUUAGAUCCGGCGUGAUCGGGGCCAUUCAGAUAAGCAUGCUGUCUGAUGGCG